CUAAUACUGAUUGGCUAUAUUGGCAGGGUGGGUAGCUUGGAAGGAAGGAUGGUUAUGGAACAGGUCAGAGCAAGUAACCAGGGGUCAAAGCAGGUGACUGGAGCAGGUGUCUGGGAUGAGUCAGGAUGGAGUAAGGGACGGGGGGAACAGAUAUGAAGUACUGAUUAGAACUGGUGACAAAGGUUGUUUACUGAAACUACAAGGAAAUUAAACUUUAAAAUGGAGAAUUAAAGAGUAAGAGAGCUGAGCAUACUGACAUACUGAUUCUUUGAAGAGAAACUUGGAGUUCACUAUAUCUGACAUUUGGGGAUCAAAGUUUUUAAAGACAAUUUGGUGAGAGGGGAGGGGCAGUGAAUCAGGGAGUGUGUGCUGAUUGGUUGGGUCAGAGGUGAAAUCCUAUGGUGUCCCAGUCUUCUUGUGCUGAGUCAAUUCUGGGUAGGGUCACAAGAUCAGAUCGGCUGGUUUCUCAUCUCAGUAGUGUCGAUGGAGCCAUCAAGUGUAGAGUCUGCAAAACAUCUCAAGCAUUCAUCUUAGAAGCAGUUUAGGGAGGGUCAGAAUCUUGUAGCCUCCAGUUAUGUGACUCCUAAACUAUAAUUUCUAAUCUUGUGGCUAAUGUUAGUAGUCUAGUUCCCAGGCAAAAAGAAGGUUUGUUUUGGGAAAGGGCUGUUAUCGUCUUUGUGACCUCUCAAUGGGUUCUGCCUAGACUUUUGAACAAAGUCCUGAGGACCAGGUCCCACCUCCAGACACUUGCCUCACAUAAUUCAUCUGGAGCAUGUUCCAGAUAUUGGUAUUUUUUAUUUUAAAGCAAUCAGGUAAUUCAACUGAAUAGCUGGGCUGAGAAUAACCUUUGUAUGAAGGCAUUCUAAAACAUUAGCAUUAAAAUAUUUAACUGUUAAAAAACUUGCUCAUGCAAAUUCUUCUUCUUGAAAUGUCCCUCUUAUCCUAUCUAUUGAUUUUGGUUUCAUCCUUACUUCUAUUUUACCUGUGAAGUUUUCCAGACUGAUUGUGGCUGAGACGGUGUUUCUUUCUGAAUUUUCAUGGUAUAUGUUUUAAACUAUAAAUUCUAAACUAAGUUCCUCCCAAAGUUAGUUCAGCCUAUGCCCAGGAAUGAGCAGGACAGCUUGGAGGUUAGAGGAAAGAUGGAGUCAUUUAAGUUGGACGUUUUUCACUGUCUCAGUCAUAAUUUUGCAAAGGCAGUUUCACCUUGACAUGCUCCUCCUGGCACACACACAGGCAGAGGUCCUUGUUCCUUCCAUAUGCUAAACCCAGAAAUCUGGCACAUGAUCCUCACCAGGAGGACUUCAAACAAAGUCCUGAGGACCAGGUCCCAGCUCCAGACACUUGCCUGAUGUCAUUCAUCUGGAGCAGGUUCCAGACAUUGAUUGUUUUUAUUUUAAAGCAAUUAGGUGAUUCAAUUGAUUAGCUGGGCUGAGAAUAACCUCUGUGUGAAGGCAUUCUAAAAUAUUAGCAAUGAAAUAUUUAACUGUUAAAAAACUACAUGACUUUUUUUUUUUCUAAAAGCUUUCUGCAUACAGUCUAAUUUAAUUCUCAUGUCAAUGAUUAGAGAUUUUGCAGUGGCAGAAACAGGCUCAGAGAGGUUAAGAAUAUGCUAGUAAGUAGAACGGGUUACACCUGGUCAGUGUGACUUGAAAGCUCAGAAUUUUAAUUGCUAAGAUAGAUGCUGGCCUGAUUUUCUUUGUUUUCUGCUUGGCUCAGAACUACUUGAAGGGGAAGACUAUUUUUUUUUUUCAUAUCUCUAUUUCCAUUGCUUAGCAUUAUGCCCCAUGUUAGCUGGAAACAAAUGAAUACUGAAUAUUUUUCAUGAAUGUGAGGGCUGUUCAACAGAGAGUUGGGUCUUAGCCCUGAAUUCUGGGUCUUCAGGGUUAUCAUUGUGUCUGGCUCAUGCAAAUUCUUCUUCCUUCUUAUCCUGUCCAUUGAUUUCGAUUUCAUACUCACUUCUAUUUUACCUGUGAAUUUUCCAGGCUAAUUGUGGCUGAAAUGGUGUUUCUUUCUGAUCUCUCAUGGUAUAUAAAACAUAUAGUAUUUGACCUAGGACUGAAUCUGUACCAUUCUCUUGCUGUAUGUGUAAAGACUGUACACUUUCAUUUUGAUCUUUAACAUAAUUGGAGUAAGAUUAUAAAUAUCACCAGAAUCUUCUCUUUUGAAUUUCUUAAAACUUCCAAUGUGGCCCUGAUAUAGAGUCCUUAUGAAUGGAUUUCUGUUUAUCUGUUAACUUUAUUCUGUUAAAUAAAUUUAAUAAUUUAUUGAAUUAUAGAAAAAUGUUUCUAACUUUGGAAAUAAAAUUAUUAGCAUCUAUAACUGAGUACAUAAAGGUUUAUUUAUUUAGUAAUAUAAAAUAAGUUAGCCUUGCACAAGCAUGCCACAGAAAGCAAGUAUAUUCAGAGGUUACAGAUACGUUUUAAAAUAAUAAAUAUACUCCUAUCUUUUCCUUUCUCUUUAUCUCUGUACAUAGAUGUAAUAUUCUCUUUACCAUAAGCCUACUUUUCCAAUCAUGGGCUUGUAUUUCAUAGACAUUACACCUUUAUGCAUGGGGAAUAAUUUUGGAAGGAGGUAGUGUAAUGUGAAGGUUAAAAGUGUAGUUUUGACAUAAUAUAUUAGACGGGCUACUGUUGGUAAUGUGAUCUCUCAGGCUCGGUUUCUUAAUCUGUGAAAUGGGAUAUUAGUAUUACUGUCUAAGGUUCUGGUGAAGAUUAAAUGAGACAUUAAAUAUCUUAAUGGAAUGGCCAUAAUUUGCACUUGAUGAGUGUUCAGAAUAUCAUUAUUAAAAUUUUAUUAUCAUUAAAAGGUUUAAAAUGUGAGCUCCUUUCAAAGGCACUUUAUAUCUCCAAAUAGCAGAAGGAAUGUUUUUGGACAAGUCGGUGUGGGCAGCCACCUAUUGCUCUGCUUGCCUCCUUUGUCACCCUUCCUUUGCAAGUCACAUGUUGGCAUCCCUUUGAACCCCAGCUGCAUCCACAUCAUAUGUGUAGUUCAUAGAAAGCGGCUGCCCGUUUUCACCACUCGCCCCUGUAUUUGAACUAAAGGAGAUGCAUAUUUUUGUUGUACCUGCAUUUCAGACUGUUUUGGGCACCGUCUAUGGGGAUGAUGGGCCAGUGCAGGAUGAGGGCUCAGGAACCAAGCUGAGGGGCUGAGGGAUUAGGUGGAACAUCAGAUCCCCCUGGCCAUUCUAGAGAGGGACCCUCAGGUGGGUAUGAGAGAUUUAGAUAAGUUCAGUCUACUGAAUCACUUAGAUAUAUCUGAUAUCUCUUUCCAGAUGAUUCAGCUGAAAUGGACACCAUUGUUUUACAAGAAGGGUCAGGGACAGACUAAUAUCAUACACACAUCCUCGUAGGAGUUUCUCUUAUUUCUUCUCCUCUCCAUUCACUUUUGGCAGAGUGUACUUCAUAUUAAAUAUUUAGCUUUGGAAUGAAGCCAUGGUGCAGUCAUGGAGGGGAGGGGCAGGAGAGUGGUUUGGAAAGAUGGGGAAGUGGAAGCCAUGGAAAACAGAGCUAGUGACAGGCUGUGGCACAGGUAGGGGUUUGCCUGUGAUUCAGCCAUUUCCAUGUGAUCACCCAGGCCUCUCUGGGAUAUGAUGUCUCAGCCUUACCAGAGUCACAAACAAUUCACGCCUUUAUAGUUCUAAACACCCAAGAGAGUUAUUCCCCUAGUGAUUCUGUAUGUAAGUAAAAAUGGUGAAAAUACUCAACACAGGUAAAGCCCAACAAGGUUUUGAGUUUAAUAUUCCCGAUGAUACUUCUUUAGGGACUAUUAAAUAUGAAAUUCUUCAAUUCUUUUCUCUCUAUCUUAAUGUUUUGGGUAUACUUUCCUUUCAGAAAACACAUGUCUAGUUUCAUUGGGAAAUUAGCAGCUUUGGCACUGCUGGGAGAACCAGGCUAUACUAGGAAAAUGCUGAAUGGUGCCCACAGGUACUGCCUUCAUUCCUUGCAGGACUUCAUGUCUCCAUGCCAAGGCCAAGAGGUUCUAUAUGCCUAAAUAUGAGGCUCAGGUAGCUCAGAAAAGCUGGACACCAUGGCUGGACCAAGCCUUUUGUUGCCUUUUCAAGUUGGCCAUUGAGCCUGCCACUAGGAAGAAGAUAGAGUUAAAAAACUAAGUCUCCCCCUCGAUCUGGACAAACAUUAAGCUAUGGUGUGGUUGACAGAUUAUCAAUAUUCUUUGUUUAUUUUUUUUUUUUUUGAGAUGGAGGCUCACUCUGUCACCCAGGCUGGA
Molecule: long non-coding RNA, 4224 nt
Organism: Sapajus apella (tufted capuchin)
Lineage: Eukaryota; Metazoa; Chordata; Mammalia; Primates; Cebidae
Exons: 3
Source: RefSeq, a predicted model, not a curated record